RNAcentral lists this non-coding RNA (176 nucleotides) under uncultured Prevotella sp. Lineage: Bacteria; Pseudomonadati; Bacteroidota; Bacteroidia; Bacteroidales; Prevotellaceae. The record is from RNAcentral.
UGAUGGUUCACUCUCUCGGCGUGAUUAAAAAGGGAACCGGGUGCGACUCCCGGACUGUCCCGCAGCAGUGAGCAGCCCCUUUACGACCGCAAACAACAGAGCCACUGGUUGGCCGAACAACCGGGAAGGCGUUUGCUUGGUUGGGCUGCAAAGUCUGAAGACCUGCCUCAUGUCUU